CCCUCUCGGGGCCGCCCGUCCCGGCCGCUCCCCCCGCCCCGCUCGGCAGGCUGGUGGGACCCUGGGACCCUGGACCAAGGAGUGCCCCAUUGAAGGGCUGCCUGAGAGUGGAUGCCCUUGCAGGAGCAGAGCAGCAAAAACAGGACCAGGAAGGACCUAUGGUUAGUAAAUUUAACAAUAUAUGGGAGAGUUUGUUGCCACAGCAGCACAAAACAGCCAGGGGACAUCAGUGUCAAUUGUAGCCCUUCCCAGUUAGGUCAUGAGUUAGCGUAUGAAUGUAUUUGUACCCGGAGACUUCAUUACAAACAUCUGGCUGGGGCCAGAUUUGCUGCUGCUUGUUCAGUCACAGAUAAUCACUUAGCACAGGUGUUGGAUUAAAUUGCAAAUUCAAGAAGGGCCAAUAUCACACAAGUUCAUACGUCCUGAUUCUGCAGAUAAAGCUGACUGAAAAUGUUCAGUGAAAUUUUUGGUGGGGAAACAAGUAUUAAAUCCAUUGUGUGUUAUAGGGAGGGGCUGAUUAGAAAAACACUUUGUUUUAAAUUUAUCAAAAUGAAAUGUCCUUAUAUUUGUUGUGAGAGUCCUUACUUGGAGGACUGAAUUAUAGGAAGGGGAAAGGCAAACUAGAAGCAGCACUAGUAGAAGUGCUUCUAAUUGCUGUGGCGAUGUCUGGUGAGUCCUAACCAACCCUUUUUAUAAAUUGUAGAUUUUCCCCCCUAGGUGUACAUUUCAGUUCUAUUGAACUUGUCUGGAAUCAGGCUUGGAAUCUUGGCUCUAGCCUGGCAAGAAGAGUUUUCUCUGCAGGCUGAGUCACUGGUGUCCAUCCAUCUCCCUCCCAGAGAAGGCUGCUGUGCUGCAAGUGCCACAGAGGGACUGAAGCUGCUUUUUCUGCAGGUGCUCUGGUGACAAAUGGCUCCUUCUUCCCCUGUUUAGUCUCACUCUGACACAUAAAUCCAGGCAUAAGCAUGCUAAGCUGGGUGGAAGCUGAAAUUGCCUGUUCAUAGUUCCGUGUUCUGGCUGUUUUACCCCUGUUUGUUUGAUGAGCAGCAGAGUGAGCUGAACUGUAGGUGACACACAGCAGCACAAGGAGCAGCUGGAGACUCUGCUGAGGCUCUGUGAUCCAGGGCAAUACAUCUCCAGUGGCUGCUGGGACUCAUCAGCACCUUGGUGAGACAAUGCUGGGGACUGCUGGAGUGUGCUGAGAAGCAGGGCCGAGGCUGGUGGAGGCUGGAUGGAUCUCUGCCCCUGGGCAGCUCCAGGCAGAAAGUGCAGAGGCACAAGUUCAUGAUCCAUGGGAAAGCACGUAGGGCUUGUUGGCAAAAGUUGUGUUGCUAAUUAAACAGGAGCUGGGAAGUUGCUUGAGGGGGCCAGAGCCCUGUGAGAAGCUGUCCAGCCUCUUUGGCACUUUCCAGUAAUUAAAGGGAGUAAUAAAUAAAUGUUCUUUGGAGCAGGGUGGGCUUGGGGAAUGUCUUACCCUGGCAUAGAGAUGGAGCACAGGGAGCUGCACUACCCCUGCACUGCAAAGGCUGAGAUCUGCUUAAUGUUUGGGGACAGGGAGGGCAGCAAUGAAGUGAUAAAUACAGCAGCAGAACAAUGCAAACAAUAUUUAGUGAAGGAAUGAAGUUCCAGUGAUGGAUAUUUUGGUGGCAAAUCAGCAGCUGUACAGCACAAGGGGUUGGGGACAAUUUGUGCUCAAACUCUGCUCCCGAGUCCUUCAGCUGAAAAAGGCUAAAUCUGUGCAGGAGAAUUGGAAUAUCAACAGAGAAACACUUUAUUAACUUAUUGACACUUACCUUUGGAUUUCACCUGGUUUACCCAUUUUUCCUCUGCAUAGGAAUGCAGGUUGUUUUCUAUUUGAUAGCCCCUGUCUGUGACCUCCAUCACAGCUCUCUGAAGAGGAUACAGAGCACUGAGCAUUGUGUCCACCCAGAGACAUGGAAUAACUGCACAGCCAAUCACUAAUAGAAAUUCAUCACUGGAAAGUAAAGUCAUUUCCCACUGAGAAGGGUCUUAGCCUUUCCUGGAGUGGGAUGCUAAUUGUAGGCUCUUUUUGUUCAUACUGGUUCUCAAAAGCAGCAGAAUCACUUUUCUGUAAGUAGCUGAAUUAAUCUAGUUCAGCUUUUUUUUUUUGGGGGGGGGAUGAGGGUGGAAGAAAGGAACUCAGGCUAUGAACCAAGCAGACAAAGAGAGACUCUAAGCCACAAAGCUGGCAAUGGAAUAUGCUGUUGGAGAAAAUCCAAGAGAAUGGAAGGUAUUACAGACCUACCAUUGCAUCUAACUGUGCAUGGCUUAUCAGUGCAGGAGUUUUUAUACUGGAGUAACUCAGAGCUAGCGAGAUUAGUCAUGAUUUUCUUAACAUUCGUUGGAUCUGCAUCAGUGGCCAAACAGGAGGUAUCUGCAUGUGCAAAACAACGUCUCUCUAACGUCAACAAGCGUUGCUGUGGCAAAAGGCCAAACCCAGCCAAGGCCAAUUCACCCAUGGCUCAUUGUUUGAAUCUGUGUCCCUGUCUCGGGUCAGGGCUGUGCUGGUUCAUCUGCUGCCUUCUCUCCCCAGGCUGCCUAUCUAGCAGCCACUGUCAUCUCGUUCUGCCCUCAGGUCAGGCCCAACUCAAUCAGCAUUGGUUUACUAUGAAAUGUCCAGAGUCAUUUUACUCAUCGUGUCUUUCUCAAAGCACUCCAGGAGAAAGUUUAAAUAUUAUUUCUGGCUCCUUCAGCCACUAACUCUCAUGAUGUUUUCAUGGAAGGUUCUAUGCUGCUCUGUAACAUGUUUUUCAUUGAUUUACGUUGACCUAAAAACAUUGCAGUAAAAAAAAAAAAAAAAGAAAAAAUGAUUCUGUUUGUGCUUUCAAGGCAUUUCUGUGUGAAAUGACCUGAUGUUCGUGGAGCUGUGGCACAGCUAAAGCAGCAAAGGUUGGGUGUGGGGUACCUGCCAACACAACCAUGCUGGGGUGAUAAAUACAGUUCAGCACAUGGGCUGGGAGCAUUUUGACUAAUGAAAGGUUGUUAGCAUUUCCCUGUGGUGGUCUGUGCUUGGAGGGCAGUGACUGAGGCUCUUGGCAUCGCUGGCUUGCCAAGGAAGCGGCAGUGGGGUGGUGGGACUGUCAUUACACCAGAGGCUUUUAGCCAAAAACUAAUGACACGGAGGCAAAACCAGCAGUCUGCAGUCUGUUAUCUUUAAAUAGCACAGUGAAUUAUACGUGUGCAAAAAUACAGCAGGUACUGCAGGGCUGGCCCACACCCCUCACACCACUCUGAUACUUCACUGACUGCUCCAGUCCUGUGCCUGGUUUGGCUGGGGUAGAGUUACUUUUGUUGGCAGUGGCAGGUGUGGGUCUGUGUUUGGGAUUUGUGCUGAGCACAGUGGUUAUAAUAGAGAUGGUUUUGUUAUUGCUGAGCAGGGCUUACCCAGAGCCAAGGCCUUUCCUGCCCCUCGUACGGCCACGCUGGGGAGGGGGCUGGGGCUGUGUGGGACAGUGGGAGGGGACACAGCCAGGACAGGUGACCCCAACUGAUCCAAGGGGUACUCCAUACUGUAUGAUGUCAUGCUCAGUAAAUAAGGUGGGGGGACGUUUGGAGCUUUGUCUUCUCAAAUAACUGUUACAUGGGAUGGGGCCCUGCUGUCCUGGGGAUGGCUGAACACCUGCUGCCCAUGGGAAGCAGGGAAUGAAUUCCUUUGCUUUGCUUAUGUGUGUGGCUUCUGCUUCACCUACUGACCUGUCUUUAUCUCAACACAUGAGUCGUCUCACUUUUACCCUUCUGAUUCCCUCCCCAGUCCCACUGGUGGGGGAGUGAGCGAGUGGCUGCUGGGGCUUGGCUGCUGGUUGGGGUUAAACCACGGCAACAUGAGAUCUUUUUGUUCUAAAAGUCUCAACAUCAGACUAAAUUUAGUCCUGUAGAAAUCAAUAAAUGGCUGCCAACUUUCACACAAGGGCAGAGCAAGGUCAAUGUUAAAUGUUUCUGGGCAAUCUUGCCCAUGGUUUCAGGCUCUUUGCUUCUCAAGUUGGGAAUGACAUGAUGAGAAACUUUCCAUUGCUUUAAAUAUUAAGGAAUCUCUGAAAAUACUUAGAAACAAUUAACUCAAAACGUUCUCUGUUUUGGGGUUUAAUUUUUUUUUUUGAAGUACAGUAUGUUCUUCUGCAGAUUUUCAUCCAAUCUACAUGCUGGUGUCCCAGAGGCUUCUUUCUGUGGUGCAUUUGUAUACCUAUAAUGAAGAAUGUCCAGGGGCACACAGACAUGUAAGGCAGACCGAGGUGGAGUGUCAGUUUUUAGUUUUAAGAUCAGUGGAUGAAGGGCAGCUGAGGAUGAGCCGUUUGUCUGUUGGAGCACAGAGAAAAACAACAGUUCUGCACAUGGCACUGGGCACCAAAGGGGAACAAACACUCUUUACAUUAUUAAGUUGUGCACAGCCAGCUGGGAAUUAUGUAAAACUUCACGAAAAUAUUUUGUCUCAAUAGAACAUAUGAAAAUAAAUUGCUUUUGGAGAUUUU
This is a long non-coding RNA of Pseudopipra pipra, 4484 nucleotides long. RefSeq lists it as uncharacterized. The transcript has 2 exons. The record is from RefSeq and is a predicted model, not a curated record. NCBI's taxonomy places the organism in Eukaryota, Metazoa, Chordata, Aves, Passeriformes, Pipridae.